Molecule: non-coding RNA, 284 nt
Organism: Meleagris gallopavo (turkey)
Lineage: Eukaryota; Metazoa; Chordata; Aves; Galliformes; Phasianidae
Source: RefSeq, a predicted model, not a curated record
GUGCGAGUAGAUGACGCGCGUUUCUCACCGGGGAGCCGUAGGCUGAGCCCGGCAGUUUGGCAGGCAGCACUCGCUCCGUUCACACCGAAAUGUCACCGAUUGCCACUGAGGACAGACUGGAAUCCGAGGGAACUCUGAGAUGGCAGCCCGAAGCAGUGAUGGAGCAGCUGGUGAGGGGUGCAGCCCUGCAAGCACAGGUGGAAGCGGUGCAUGUGUGGGACCAGAUGGGGCUGAGCCUGGCUCCGCCCCUCCCUCCCCUCAUUUAAGGGCUGGCAGCCCCAGAG